GCCCCCGUAGCUCAAUUUGGUAGAGCAGAGGACUCUUAAUCCUUUGGUUCCGCGUUCGAGUCGCGGCGGGGGCACCA
Molecule: transfer RNA, 77 nt
Filed under: Candidatus Nealsonbacteria bacterium CG10_big_fil_rev_8_21_14_0_10_36_23
Lineage: Bacteria; Candidatus Nealsoniibacteriota
Also listed under: 1 other name
Description: tRNA-Lys
Rfam family: tRNA
About the family: Transfer RNA (tRNA) molecules are approximately 80 nucleotides in length.
Source: RNAcentral